RNAcentral lists this ribosomal RNA (450 nucleotides) under uncultured Glomeromycotina. RNAcentral describes it as "SSU rRNA". It matches the Rfam family "Eukaryotic small subunit ribosomal RNA", at positions 569 to 1026 of the family's 1831-position model. Lineage: Eukaryota; Fungi; Glomeromycota. The record is from RNAcentral.
AGCAGCCGCGGUAAUUCCAGCUCCAAUAGCGUAUAUUAAAGUUGUUGCAGUUAAAAAGCUCGUAGUUGAAUUUCGGGGUUCUACCGUUGGUCGGGCAAUAGUCUGUACUGGCGUGUGGAAUUUCUACCUUCUGGGGAACUAUCAUGUUAUUUAUUUAGCGUGGUAGGAAACCAGGACCUUUACCUUGAAAAAAUUAGAGUGUUCAAAGCAGGCUUACGUCUGAAUACAUUAGCAUGGAAUAAUAAAAUAGGACGGUGGUCCUGUUUUGUUGGUUUCUGAAUCACCGUAAUGAUUAAUAGGGAUAGUUGGGGGCAUUAGUAUUCAAUUGUCAGAGGUGAAAUUCUUGGAUUUAUUGAAGACUAACUUCUGCGAAAGCAUUUGCCAAGGAUGUUUUCAUUAAUCAAGAACGAAAGUUAGGGGAUCGAAGACGAUCAGAUACCGUCGUAGUCU